RNAcentral lists this ribosomal RNA (221 nucleotides) under uncultured bacterium. Its description in RNAcentral is "partial 16S ribosomal RNA". It matches the Rfam family "Bacterial small subunit ribosomal RNA", at positions 99 to 334 of the family's 1533-position model. The record is from RNAcentral.
CGCACUGGUGAGUAACACGUGGAUGAUCUGCCCUUUUGUGGGGAAUACCGCUGGGAAACCGGUGACAAUACCGCAUAAGCCCGAGAGGGGAAAGCAGAAAUGCGCAGAAGGAGGAGUCCGCGGUCGAUUAGUUAGUUGGCAGGGUAAAAGCCUACCAAGACUGUGAUCGAUAGCCGGCCUGAGAGGGCACACGGCCACACUGGCACUGAAACACGGGCCAG